AAAAAGGGCUUCUGUUGUGAGUAGCACCUGUAGGGCAGCUUGAUUGCUCUUCAUGCGGAAUUGACAUCAAGAGAUUUCAGAAGCAUAAUUUUUGGUACCCUAGCAGCUGGUGAUCAUUGGCCCUGAAAGAAAAAAAGGAUCAGACGCUUAA
Molecule: small nuclear RNA, 151 nt
Organism: Hyaena hyaena (striped hyena)
Lineage: Eukaryota; Metazoa; Chordata; Mammalia; Carnivora; Hyaenidae
Product: U11 spliceosomal RNA
Exons: 1
Source: RefSeq, a predicted model, not a curated record